GUCCCUCCCGAGGGGCAACGUGCACGCCUCGUCUCUCGUCUUCAUCUAUCAACCCCUGKGCACCUCUGCGUGGGUCCCCACCUCGGGGGCUCGCGUCCUUUCACCACAAAACACAUUCGUAUGUAUCGGAACGUUAUGAUGAUGAUAUAAACUUGUACAACUUUCAACGACGGAUCUCUUGGCUCUCGCAUCGAUGAAGAACGCAGCGAAAUGCGAUAAGUAAUGUGAAUUGCAGAAUUCAGUGAAUCAUCGAAUCUUUGAACGCACCUUGCGCCUCUUGGUAUUCCGAGGGGCACGCCUGUUUGAGUAUCGUGAAAUCGUCAACCCGAUCCCUUUCGUGAAAACGAAGGGAGAGGGCUUGGACUUGGAGGAUUUGCUGGUCCCCCUGCCUGGGAAAUCGGCUCCUCUGGAAUGCAUUAGUGGAGCUUUUCGACCGCCCUCGGUGUGAUAAUCGUCUGCGCCGACGUGCGGAAGGAGUCAAAGCGUCGCUUCGAAUGGUCUCGUCCCCGAGACAAGCUUUUUGAACCCAUCGAUCUCAAAUCAGGCGGGACUACCCGCCGAACUUAAGCAUAUCAAUAAGCGGAGGAAAAGAAACUAACAAGGAUUCCCCUAGUAACUGCGAGUGAAGCGGGAAAAGCUCAAAUUUGAAAUCUGGCGGUCUUUGGCCGUCCGAGUUGUAGUCUGGAGAAGCGCUUUCCGCGCCGGACCGUGUACAAGUCCUCUGGAACGGGGCGUCGU
This 738-nucleotide ribosomal RNA is filed under the name Albatrellus avellaneus. RNAcentral describes it as "eukaryotic LSU rRNA". The stretch from base 159 to 312 matches the Rfam family "5.8S ribosomal RNA". Lineage: Eukaryota; Fungi; Basidiomycota; Agaricomycetes; Russulales; Albatrellaceae. The record is from RNAcentral.